CCUACGGGAGGCUGCAGUGGGGAAUAUUGCGCAAUGGGCGAAAGCCUGACGCAGCGACGCCGGGUGAGGGAUGAAGGUCUUCGGAUCGUAAACCUCUGUCAGCAGGGAAGAACGGUCACUGUGCUAAUCAGCAGUGAAUUGACGGUACCUGCAAAGGAAGCACCGGCUAACUCCGUGCCAGCAGCCGCGGUAAUACGGAGGGUGCGAGCGGUAAUCGGAAUUAGUGGGCGUAAAGCGCUCGUAGGCGGUAUGUCAAGUCAAGGGUGAAAUCCCCGCGCUCAACGUGGGAACUGCCUUUGAAACUGGCAAACUGGAGUGUGUGAGAGGAUAGUGGAAUUCCAGGUGUAGGAGUGAAAUCCGUAGAUAUCUGGAGGAACAUCAGUGGCGAAGGCGACUAUCUGGCCCAUAACUGACGCUGAGGAGCGAAAGCGUGGGUAGCAAACAGGAUUAGAUACCCGGGUAGUC
Molecule: ribosomal RNA, 465 nt
Filed under: uncultured bacterium
Lineage: Bacteria
Description: partial 16S ribosomal RNA
Rfam family: Bacterial small subunit ribosomal RNA
Source: RNAcentral